Molecule: ribosomal RNA, 465 nt
Filed under: uncultured bacterium
Lineage: Bacteria
Description: partial 16S ribosomal RNA
Rfam family: Bacterial small subunit ribosomal RNA
Source: RNAcentral
GGCGAACGCUGGCGGCGUGCUUAACACAUGCCAGUCGAACGGAAAGGCCCCUUUGGGGGUACGUGAGUGGCGAACGGGUGAGUAACACGUGAGUAACCUGCCCUUGACUUCGGGAUAACUUCAGGAAACUGGGGCUAAUACCGGAUAGGAAUCCUUGCUGCAUGGUGGGGGUUGGAAAGCUUCGGCGGUUUUGGAUGGACUCGCGGCUUAUCAGCUUGUUGGUGGGGUAGUGGCUUACCAAGGCUUUGACGGGUAGCCGGCCUGAGAGGGCGACCGGCCACAUUGGGACUGAGAUACGGCCCAGACUCCUACGGGAGGCAGCAGUGGGGAAUAUUGCACAAUGGGCGGAAGCCUGAUGCAGCAACGCCGCGUGCGGGAUGACGGCCUUCGGGUUGUAAACCGCUUUCAGCAGGGGCGAAGCUUGUGGUGACGGUACCUGCAGAAGAAGCACCGGCUAACUACGUG